This 82-nucleotide transfer RNA is filed under the name Candidatus Woesearchaeota archaeon. RNAcentral describes it as "tRNA-Ser". It matches the Rfam family "tRNA". From Rfam's summary of the family: Transfer RNA (tRNA) molecules are approximately 80 nucleotides in length. Their secondary structure includes four short double-helical elements and three loops (D, anti-codon, and T loops). Lineage: Archaea; Nanobdellati; Candidatus Woesearchaeota. The record is from RNAcentral.
GCCAACGUCGCAUAACCUGGUAUUGCGCUCGCCUCGAAAGCGAGUUCCUACGGAAUUGCAGGUUCAAAUCCUGCCGUUGGCG